Molecule: ribosomal RNA, 207 nt
Filed under: uncultured bacterium
Lineage: Bacteria
Description: partial 16S ribosomal RNA
Rfam family: Bacterial small subunit ribosomal RNA
Source: RNAcentral
UGCGUAGGUGGCGCCGUCAGUGGGGUGUGAAAUUUCGGAGCUUAACUCCGAAACUGCAUUCCAUACUGCGGUGCUUGAGGACUGGAGAGGAGACUGGAAUUCAUGGUGUAGCAGCGAAAUGCGUAGAGAUCAUGAGGAAGACCAGUGGCGAAGGCGGGUCUCUGGACAGUUCCUGACACUGAGGCACGAAGGCUAGGGGAGCGAACG